GAUGAACGCUGGCGGCGUGCCUAAUACAUGCAAGUCGAGCGAACAGACGAGGAGCUUGCUCCGCUGACGUUAGCGGCGGACGGGUGAGUAACACGUGGAUAACCUACCUAUAAGACUGGGAUAACUUCGGGAAACCGGAGCUAAUACCGGAUAAUAUAUUGAACCGCAUGGUUCAAUAGUGAAAGACGGUUUUGCUGUCACUUAUAGAUGGAUCCGCGCCGCAUUAGCUAGUUGGUAAGGUAACGGCUUACCAAGGCGACGAUGCGUAGCCGACCUGAGAGGGUGAUCGGCCACACUGGAACUGAGACACGGUCCAGACUCCUACGGGAGGCAGCAGUAGGGAAUCUUCCACAAUGGGCGAAAGCCUGACGGAGCAACGCCGCGUGAGUGAUGAAGGUCUUCGGAUCGUAAAACUCUGUUAUUAGGGAAGAACAAAUGUGUAAGUAACUAUGCACGUCUUGACGGUACCUAGUCAGAAAGCCACGGCUAACUACGUG
This 497-nucleotide ribosomal RNA is filed under the name uncultured bacterium. RNAcentral's name for it is "partial 16S ribosomal RNA". It matches the Rfam family "Bacterial small subunit ribosomal RNA", at positions 28 to 507 of the family's 1533-position model. The record is from RNAcentral.